ACGCCGAGUGCAGACGAUUAUACCGGAUAGUUGAAGAAUAAAAGAUAAAUUAUGUUGUUGUCUACAACAAUAAUAAUACAUACAUUAAAUAUUUUUACUUGUGUAUAUACAACAAGAAAAAAAUAUAUGUAAAUUUUUUGUCAAACAAUAAAUAAUUGUUGUAACAAUUAAAGUUUAUACUUUUGUUUGCACUUCAAUAAAAACGAAGUUUAAUUAAUGUAAAUAUAAAAAGUGCAAAUUUGUGUGUAAAUUGUUAAAAAAAAAAAUCAAAAUCCAAUUGGAUUUUUUAGCUGCGACAGAAAAGUGUGAAAAGUGGUGGUUGUUCUGAAUUUCUGCAAAACAGAAAAGAAAAUAUGAUAUAAAAAUAAUUGUAUUUCGGUACAUGUAUAGUGAACAAAUAAUAUAAGAAAAUAAAUAAAAACACCCGUAUAAAAAAAUUGUCUAAAAUUAAGAUACUUUUUUCUUAAAUACUACGAGUCAUUGCUUUAAGAUUUCAAAUUUUAAAUCAUUAUAAACUGGAUUAAAUAAAAUUUUCUAAAAAUUAUCUCUACACGGUUUUAAAAAAAGCACCCGAUUGUAACGAUUUGAGCACUUGAAAUAUUGGAUACGUAACCCCUUCUCCGAAAAAAGACAGAAAAAAAAACUAAACGGAACGAAAGAAAUAAUUGCAAUUUGCAUAUUCAUCUGUUAACAUUUAGCAUUUUCAUAGUUGCUGCAGUUUAUAAUUUAAACCGAAAAAAUGCUUGAGUGCACAGCUGCAUAAAAGUUUAAAAAAAGCAACAACAACAAAAAAUUAAAGAAAAAUAAUCAUAAAUAAAAGAAAAACAACUACAAUAAACAAAUAAUAACAAAACACAUGUACUGGUAAGAAGUACAAUUGAAGAAAAAAAGCUAAAAAAAAAAACAAAAAAAGAGUACAACCACCAAGUAAAUGGUAUCUGGUAUUGUGUUUCUGUUUUUGUUGUUUUAUUGCUCUCAUUAUUAUUGUUAUUGUUGUGUUAACCCCAAAACUCCCCUUUUUAACAGACUACCAUACAACAAAGCCAAACUAAACAGAGAAUAAAAGCAAAAAACAAACUGUCUCACUUUACAAUAAUAAAUAGCAAGAGCCAAAACAACAACUUCAAAUACAAAAACACAAACAGAGUAGUUGUAAACCACCAGGCCAACAGCAGCUAACAGACACACCAGCAGCAGUCAUUCAUUAACAACUGCAGCAGAAUCACAAUCAGAAGCAGUUCUCCACAAUUUACAAAACAGAAUUGAAAACCAAAAAAAAAAACUACAACAAACAUUACAAGAAUAUUUACAUAAAGAUUAUGUAAAAAUACAACGACAACUAUACAAGAACAAUACAAAUAAACAACGACUAAAACAACCAGGCAAAAUUAGAGAGAAAAAACAAAAACAAAGAAUACAACUAAAAACCAAAAAAAAAAAAAAUAAUUAAUACAACAAACAUGUAAAAAUGAAGUAAACUUUAGAGUUUUUGUGUAAUUUUUUUCGUUUUUCUCGCCAUUUUAGUUACAAGUAAUAGGAAAAACUGCAACACAACAACAACAAAUAUUAACUCAACAGCAGCCCAGUAGUGGUGUUGUUUUAGCCACUUUAAAGGAAACUGGGAUCGAAACAACCGAUCAACAAAACAAACAAUACAUUCCUGGAAUUAAAGUAUUUAUAUUGUUUAUUUAAAUACAUUUUAAGCCGAAAUUAACAAAAAAGAAAAAACGAAAAAAACAACAAAAAAGACAAAGUCGACUUAAAAGGUGAGUAAGUUUAAGUGUAAACAAUGAGAUAAUAAGUAUUUUUUAAACACCAAACCGAAUAAAAAUAGAGGUAAAGGCAAGUUUAACAAAUGUUUAUUAUAGAUCUGGGUAGUUCAUAUUUAUAUUCCAGCGUAUAAACUAUGGUCCAGGCUAUAGACUAUCUAUAGUCCAGACUAUAGACUAUCUAUAGUUCAGACUAUAGACUAUCUUUAGUCCAGAA
This is a long non-coding RNA of Lucilia sericata (common green bottle fly), 1986 nucleotides long. RefSeq lists it as uncharacterized. The transcript has 4 exons. The record is from RefSeq and is a predicted model, not a curated record. NCBI's taxonomy places the organism in Eukaryota, Metazoa, Arthropoda, Insecta, Diptera, Calliphoridae.